This is a non-coding RNA of Acanthosepion pharaonis, 114 nucleotides long. NCBI's taxonomy places the organism in Eukaryota, Metazoa, Mollusca, Cephalopoda, Sepiida, Sepiidae. The record is from the annotation of a GenBank genome assembly.
UUACGGUCACAUCAUGUUGAAACACCGGUUCUCGUUUGAUAACUGAAGUUAAGAAAUAUAGAGCCUGGUCAGUACCUAAAUGGGCGAUCUCUUGAGAAUGCUGGGGGUUGUAAG